Molecule: long non-coding RNA, 921 nt
Filed under: Marmota monax (woodchuck)
Lineage: Eukaryota; Metazoa; Chordata; Mammalia; Rodentia; Sciuridae
Source: RNAcentral
CAGGGAAGCAGCUUCAGGGCCAGGUAAGAAAACUCUUCGUGGCAGCACUGUUAAUGAACAGGACACAGUGCUUUUGUGUUGGAGGCCCUACUUAGCAAGGAGCAUCAGAAAGCAAGUCAUGGCCCCUUCAGAGAGCUUGUGCAGUGACCAGUUGAGCUGUGCAGACAGUACCAGUGUUCCCAGUGCUGUGACAGAAGCAGAGCAUGUGCUGUGGGAGCCCAGAGGAGGAAGCAUCCUCUUCUUCAGGGGAUUGGAGAGAGCUUCGCAGAGGAGGGAACGUUCUAGUGGCGUAUUGAAUGAUGGAUGAACUUGCCAAGCAGCCAGUCAUGGAAUGGUAUGGGGGGAGACAGCUGUGGACAGAGCGGUACCCAUCAAGGUAUGUUUGUGACCAGCUUCUACAGGACCUUGUGUGUCUUUUUGUGAGCAGGGGGAAACUGUUGAAGAAACUUAAGGAAGGGAGGAACUUUUGUUUUGGAGGCAUUGCCCCAGGGUUAGAGAAGCUGGUGACAGAAUGCUAAUCAGAAUACUCUAGUUCCCAGGUGGCAUCUGAUGAAGCUGGGGAACUGAGUGAUAGUGCAGUUAGAGACAGAGUGCAUAUGGGACAUUCCUGAGUAGACUCCCAGGGUCUUGACAGCAAAUUGGUUAACUGGUUUAGAAGAUGAGGAAGAAAAACAUUGAGGACGACUCAUAGGUUGCCAGCUUGGAAACUGGGGACAUGCUAAUCCUGUCUUUAUCUGUGGACACAUUUUGAUGAUGGUCGUGCAGGGGAGUUGGACACCAUUGCUUGACGAUAACUUCCAUGAGGACAGUGUGCUAAUCGGUUUUCUGUUGCUAUGACAAAAUACCUAGAAAAACAAUUUAAGGAAAGAUUUAUUUGGGCUCAUGGUUUUUGAGGUUUCAGCCCAAGGUCAGUUAGCUCCA